Molecule: ribosomal RNA, 497 nt
Filed under: uncultured bacterium
Lineage: Bacteria
Description: partial 16S ribosomal RNA
Rfam family: Bacterial small subunit ribosomal RNA
Source: RNAcentral
AUUGAACGCUGGCGGCAUGCCUUACACAUGCAAGUCGAACGGUAACGGGCCUUCGGGUGCCGACGAGUGGCGAACGGGUGAGUAAUGCAUCGGAACGUACCCAUCAGUGGGGGAUAACUCUCCGAAAGGAGGGCUAAUACCGCAUAUUCUGUGCGCAGGAAAGCGGGGGACCGCAAGGCCUCGCGCUGAUGGAGCGGCCGAUGUCAGAUUAGCUAGUUGGUGGGGUAAAGGCCUACCAAGGGGACGAUAUGUAGCGGGUCUGAGGGGAUGAUCCGCCACACUGGGACUGAGACACGGCCCAGACUCCUACGGGAGGCAGCAGUGGGGAAUUUUGACAAUGGGGGCAACCCUGAUCCAGCAAUGCCGCGUGUGUGAAGAAGGCCUUCGGGUUGUAAAGCACUUUUGUCCGGAAAGAAAUGGCUCUGGUUAAUACCUGGGGUCGAUGACGGUACCGGAAGAAUAAGGACCGGCUAACUACGUGCCAGCAGCCGCCGUAA